UGGGGCUAUAGCUCAGUUGGUAGAGUGCUUGCUUUGCAUGUACAAGGACCUGGGUUUGAUCCCCAGUACCAUAA
Molecule: transfer RNA, 74 nt
Filed under: Marmota monax (woodchuck)
Lineage: Eukaryota; Metazoa; Chordata; Mammalia; Rodentia; Sciuridae
Description: tRNA.Ala
Rfam family: tRNA
About the family: Transfer RNA (tRNA) molecules are approximately 80 nucleotides in length. Their secondary structure includes four short double-helical elements and three loops (D, anti-codon, and T loops).
Source: RNAcentral